AGCCUGAACGCUGGCGGCGUGGCUAAGACAUGCAAGUCGAACGGAUAUAGCAAUAUAUCAGUGGCGGACGGGUGAGUAAUAAAUCGCUAAUGUACCCCGGAGCCAGGGAUAGCUGCCCGAAAGGGCAGGUAAUACCUGAUGAGACCACGAACAGGCAUCUGUUUGUGCUCAAAGCCGUAAGGCACUCUGGGAGCAGGCGAUUACGUAUCAGCUUGUUGGUGAGGUAACGGCUCACCAAGGCGACGACGCGUAGCUGGUCUGAGAGGACGGCCAGCCACAUUGGGACUGAGACACUGCCCAGACUCCUACGGGGGGCUGCAGUAACGAAUCUUCCGCAAUGCACGAAAGUGUGACGGAGCGACGCCGCGUGUAGGAUGAAGUCCUUCGGGAUGUAAACUACUGUCAGGGGAAGAAGUUCUAGAUCUACCCAGAGGAAGAGACGGCUAACUCUGCGCCAGCAGCCGCGGUAAU
This 471-nucleotide ribosomal RNA is filed under the name uncultured bacterium. RNAcentral's name for it is "SSU rRNA". It matches the Rfam family "Bacterial small subunit ribosomal RNA", at positions 26 to 524 of the family's 1533-position model. The record is from RNAcentral.